Molecule: ribosomal RNA, 385 nt
Filed under: uncultured bacterium
Lineage: Bacteria
Description: bacterial SSU rRNA
Rfam family: Bacterial small subunit ribosomal RNA
Source: RNAcentral
GAUAAACGCUGGCGGCGUGCCUAACACAUGCAAGUCGAACGUCCUCUUUUGCCUUCGCGAGAAGGGGAGAGAGGGAGUGGCGGACGGGUGAGUAACACGUGGGUACCUACCCUGGGGUGAGGAAUACCGGCGAGAAAUCGCCGACAAGACCGCAUAGGCUCUUUCUUGCACAACGUAAAAGAGAGCAAAGCCGAAAGGUGCCCUGGGAUGGGCCUGCGGCCGAUUAGCUAGUUGGCGAGGUAAGAGCUCCCCAAGGCGACGAUCGGUAGCUGGUCUGAGAGGACGAACAGCCACACUGGGAUUGAGAACGGCCCAGACUCCUACGGGGGCAGCAGUGAGGAAUUUUCCGCAAUGGGCGCAAGCCUGACGGAGCAACGCCGCGUGC